Molecule: small nuclear RNA, 106 nt
Filed under: Castor canadensis (American beaver)
Lineage: Eukaryota; Metazoa; Chordata; Mammalia; Rodentia; Castoridae
Source: RNAcentral
GUGUUAACUUUAUCAGAACACAAACUAAAAUUCGAACAAUAAAGAGAAAAUUAAUAUGGCCUCUGUGCUAGAAUGACAUGCAAAUUGUGAAGGAUACCAUGGUUGA